This 245-nucleotide ribosomal RNA is filed under the name Bacillus cereus. RNAcentral's name for it is "partial 16S ribosomal RNA". It matches the Rfam family "Bacterial small subunit ribosomal RNA", at positions 65 to 298 of the family's 1533-position model. The record is from RNAcentral. Lineage: Bacteria; Bacillati; Bacillota; Bacilli; Caryophanales; Bacillaceae. RNAcentral also lists the same sequence under 1 other name.
AGCGAAUGGAUUAAGAGCUUGCUCUUAUGAAGUUAGCGGCGGACGGGUGAGUAACACGUGGGUAACCUGCCCAUAAGACUGGGAUAACUCCGGGAAACCGGGGCUAAUACCGGAUAACAUUUUGAACUGCAUGGUUCGAAAUUGAAAGGCGGCUUCGGCUGUCACUUAUGGAUGGACCCGCGUCGCAUUAGCUAGUUGGUGAGGUAACGGCUCACCAAGGCAACGAUGCGUAGCCGACCUGAGAG